UACUGGUAAAGCAGCUCUUGAAUAUAUUUAUAUCUAGAUAAAUAGGAGAAAUAUAUUCAAUAAACGAUUUGCCUGACAUUGGGUGUCGUAGAACGCCAGAGUGCGUUGUAAAGCGACUUUAUAUAUAUAUUGUGGUGAAGUUUUAUUAAUUUCUGAUGAGCAACAAAUAUUCAAGGUAACGAACAAAAAUAUAGUGAGACUCAGCACUCGGCUCAGGCCCAGAAUAGGUUUUCUCCUUCUCUCUUUCUCUCUCCCAACCCCUCCGUAUCUCCUUCUCCCUUCUCUCUUCGUCUCUCCUCUCUUCCUUCAAGCGGGCACCAUUUCAAACUUUUCUGUCUAAUAAUCAUGUGACUUCAGAGUCAUUUGAAAGGCAUAAUCGGGAACAUAGGCUUUGACGAAUUACAAGUUAAGAUUUAGUCACGUAAUAUUCCAACGUUCCAGGUUUUUAAUUUUAUUUCAGAAGAUCGCUGAUUUUUCCAGAUUUGCAGGUUUUGUUUCACGGGUCGCGAUUGCGUCGGCUCCUUCUCUUUACCGGUAAAUCACGGCGAGAAAAUUCAAAAUGCCGGCGCGAAAGUAGGACAGACAAAGCGAGGAAAUUACACACUAAGACCGUGACAAAUGAAAAAUGCCAGGGGUAGUGUCAGGAGAGGUACUCCCGACAAUAAUCAUAAAUCAUGCAUAAUUCUUUCAUUAUGAUGAGUGGCUGCAUUUCCCUUUUCCAUCUUCCUCCCGCCAGGGGAAAAACGCAAAAGAACCCGUGAGUUAGAAUAAGCUUAUCACGCUUAUGACUUGUCACUUCAAAAGGCUUUGAUUGCGUUAGAAAGGCCAGUUCGGAGGAAAUAAUAUUUAUAAGUAUCUAAGGUUCUUCUGACAAAACACUCAGUUAUUAGAAAAUGGGGCUACUAUUAAAGAAAAAAAGUAGAAAAUAUUAAAAGCUUUCAGAUGAGACUUAUUUUUACAGGAUGCUAUUAUUGAAGUGCCUUUAAACGAAGAGUGCACGCUGUACGAUUACCAGUCUCUGGGAGACCCUCCGGCGUUGAUGAUUCUGAAAAGUUGGUAACACUCUUUUACCCCUACUUAACUGUUUGUUUAACAAUCGAUUCUUGGUGAUGCAGCCUGCCUCACCUUAAAGCAAUAUUUUCAAUGGAUUUAAAUGGGUAAAAAACAGUGCCGCCAACUUCGCAAGAUCGCCUCUGCCCUUUGGAUAAAAAACGGUGAUUAUGUGGGAUCGAGUAAGAAAGCAGUUAAAUUGUUAAUUACAACCUACUUCAGACGAUUCUCAAAGAUACCCACAUUGAAUUUCCAGAAAAAAUAAAGAGGUAAAAAAUCAAAACUACCCCCCGAACACUUUCAAAUAUUUAUAAAACAUUAAACGGAUUCCUUUAUCUCAGCAAA
Molecule: non-coding RNA, 1395 nt
Organism: Bemisia tabaci
Lineage: Eukaryota; Metazoa; Arthropoda; Insecta; Hemiptera; Aleyrodidae
Source: RefSeq, a predicted model, not a curated record